Molecule: ribosomal RNA, 550 nt
Filed under: uncultured bacterium
Lineage: Bacteria
Description: bacterial SSU rRNA
Rfam family: Bacterial small subunit ribosomal RNA
Source: RNAcentral
UAGGGAAUCUUCGGCAAUGGGGGCAACCCUGACCGAGCAACGCCGCGUGAGUGAAGAAGGUUUUCGGAUCGUAAAGCUCUGUUGUAAGUCAAGAACGAGUGUGAGAGUGGAAAGUUCACACUGUGACGGUAGCUUACCAGAAAGGGACGGCUAACUACGUGCCAGCAGCCGCGGUAAUACGUAGGUCCCGAGCGUUGUCCGGAUUUAUUGGGCGUAAAGCGAGCGCAGGCGGUUUGAUAAGUCUGAAGUUAAAGGCUGUGGCUCAACCAUAGUUCGCUUUGGAAACUGUCAAACUUGAGUGCAGAAGGGGAGAGUGGAAUUCCAUGUGUAGCGGUGAAAUGCGUAGAUAUAUGGAGGAACACCGGUGGCGAAAGCGGCUCUCUGGUCUGUAACUGACGCUGAGGCUCGAAAGCGUGGGGAGCGAACAGGAUUAGAUACCCUGGUAGUCCACGCCGUAAACGAUGAGUGCUAGGUGUUGGGUCCUUUCCGGGACUCAGUGCCGCAGCUAACGCAUUAAGCACUCCGCCUGGGGAGUACGACCGCAAGGUUG